GUAGGUGGCAAGCGUUGUCCGGAAUUAUUGGGCGUAAAGCGCGCGCAGGCGGUUCUUUAAGUCUGAUGUGAAAGCCCACGGCUCAACCGUGGAGGGUCAUUGGAAACUGGAGAACUUGAGUACAGAAGAGGAAAGCGGAAUUCCACGUGUAGCGGUGAAAUGCGUAGAGAUGUGGAGGAACACCAGUGGCGAAGGCGGCUUUCUGGUCUGUAACUGACGCUAAGGCGCGAAAGCGUGGGGAGCAAACAGGGAUUAGAUACCCUGGUAGUCCACGCCGUAAACGAUGAGUGCUAAGUGUUAGGGGGGUUUCCGCCCCCUUAGUGCUGCAGCUAACGCAUUAAGCACUCCGCCUGGGGAGUACGGCCGCAAGGCUG
This 374-nucleotide ribosomal RNA is filed under the name uncultured organism. RNAcentral's name for it is "partial 16S ribosomal RNA". It matches the Rfam family "Bacterial small subunit ribosomal RNA", at positions 527 to 896 of the family's 1533-position model. The record is from RNAcentral.